CGGCAUACUUCGGAGAUCCAAACCAGCCCAUAAUCCAUCUCGUGUCGCAGUUCCACUCUACCUGUUUCGUGUGGCUCGCGGGUCCUAGCACCUUACACCUGCUAUAAUUUGUUUCCAUCGACAGUUUCUUAUCUAAUCAAGGACGUGGGUUUCAGUCCUCAAAAAAAAGGACGUGGGUUUGGGAGCUAGCCCACUUACCUAGCCGAACCUGAUUUUUUAUCGAGUGCGUCGCCGGUGAGCGGAUGCAUGUCCGGCGGCGAGAGGUGAGCGGGCUCGUGGCCAAGCGAGCUGCUGACCGUGUCCUUGAUAGCGUCGUUAUCGGCGGGUGAACAGCAGGCUCGUGGUCGGCCGUCCGAAGCGGCGGCGUGGUGUGAUUGGCUUCUACAGAACCGACUCUGAUUGGAGUGGAAGGGGACGAACGGCCUCAUCCUCAAAUUCGGUGCGUGCUGUCGGAUCCCCUUUGCAAGCCAAGACUGAACACAAAAUUGCAUAGAUGUGGCGAUCUGUUCCGCUAGGUAAAAUUUGAUGGCAUGGACAAAUCAAAAAGAAAUUAUGUCUCCAGAUUAGACCUGCGUCUUCCUCUAAUCCUGCUACCAUUCUUUCUUUGUCUUCUCAUAAACGGAGCUACUAAUCAUGUUGUGUGUGUCUAUGAUUCCUCAGGUCCAGCUCCAUUUUUCCUGUUCUGGAAUGCACCAGGUAAUUUUACGUGUUAGUGCAUAGCACGUAUGAAAGUGAGUUGCACACAUUGAAUUUCACUUCUCACGGAGUCGAUUCGUUUGGGGCUAUGUUUUUAUUUGGUUCUAACAGUUUAAAAUUGACAGCAAUUGAUUCACUCCAUGAUGAAACAUAAAUGACGGAAAUCACAUUCACUAAUUUAAUUUCAGUGAUUUUCUUGUGUGCCUUGCGUUACAAUUCAAAUUAACCUGAUAGGAUGCACAAUCAUGUGCUUAUUCAUCCCAUCAUUGUGUAUACACAUUCAAGUGUUGUGUUUGAUAGGAAUUUAUGAUUCCGUUUGGACAAAGCGAAAGCGCACAGCCGUGGGAUGGGUCGGGACGGAUCCCACGGAGUGUUGGGGGCAGACAUGUGCCGCAGCAGAAUGCCGCUCGUGGCAUGGUAUCCCAAUCUCACCUCGUCGCAGAUCCUGUCCUCCUCCAUUUUUCCUGUUCUGGACCCAUCAAAUGUUAACUAUUAUACUAAGCAAUACGCGAUUGAAAUAUGUACAAUUAGAUCUAUCUAGGUUUCAGGUCAUCUCGGGGCAAUGGCGGCUUGGUGGCGGCGUCAAAAGCCUGGUCAGGCCACGUGGCGGGUGGUGGCUGAGGGUGGCCUCGGCAUCGGCGUAAUGGGUGGAGGUUGUGGGCAGAUGCACUGAUUCAGUUCGUGACAGGAAUUGAAGACCACAACUAACAUUAGUAGGCCAAUGGUUUCGAGUCCCUCAAAGAAAUUGUCCACGUCGAGGAAAUCCCAGAACAAGGUUGUUCCUUGCGCUGCUGUUUUCCAUGGAACCCAGCCUCCGAAGAGCAGCAGAGAAAUAAACAUUGAAGUUCGAAACUACCUUCUGCUUUCAAGUUUCCCCUUGUGCAUUCACUCCCUAAAACAAACUGCACUUCUGUAUAUAGGUGGAUAUUUUUAGUCUCGUGUCCUGUCCAUGUAAUGAAAUUGCUUAUGAAUGCUUCCUACUAUUGGCGUCAUCAAACAGAUCAUGUCCGGAAUUGUUGUACUGAAAGAAUGAUCCAUGUCACCUACGUGACAUUUUGUAAUUCACAUUUUUUUUUAUUUCCCAGUGUAUACCAUAAUUUAUAUGAUCUGAUGUUGAUUUGUGUGACAACAUAA
Lolium rigidum is the source of this 1830-nucleotide long non-coding RNA. RefSeq lists it as uncharacterized. NCBI's taxonomy places the organism in Eukaryota, Viridiplantae, Streptophyta, Magnoliopsida, Poales, Poaceae. The transcript is spliced from 3 exons. The record is from RefSeq and is a predicted model, not a curated record.